AGGCAAGAGUAUCCUGCUGGAGAUUCCUGCCUACUUGUGGCCUUCCAAGGGAGCAGACUCCUCAGGUCUAUGUGAUAGAAAUGAAGACCUGCAGGUACCACUGUCUAGAAGUUUGCAGGACUGGGGCGUGAGAGCAUUAGUCCAUUUCACAGAUGAGAAAACUGAGGAGUAGGACAUAAGAAGAGAGCUUCCGAAGAUAAAGGUGUCAGAGGAUAGAAAGGUUAAGUCUGCCAUAGCGCUUCCCUGCAUAUCCAGACCUCAGCAAGGACAGGGAGUUAUGCCAAAAGACGUACUCUUCAAUUUCCUUAACAGUCUUCAGUGAUGGAUUGGUCCCUGUACAAAAGCCUUCACUGAGCAUGAACAACUGCAUCAGUCUGUAGCAGUUAGACUAAAGGCCUUUCUCACUAAUUUAAUUCUGUUUCUUUCUUUUCUCAUGCUUAUGUUGAAAAUUCUGUUAUCAAAUGAUGUUCUAAAUCCAUUUGUAGUGACUCAGCACUUUACAAACCCACACACAAUCUAAAUACUGUGCCAAAUAUUAUUGAAGAUUGAGAUAUUAACUUUACAGCACAAAGCAGUAAGAAAUGGGGAACCAGCCGCAGUUGCAUGUUUAAUAAGUCAUAGUGGUUGGCUUGAACUGGCUAUGAACAUUCAGGAGACUACAUGGAAAAGAUACUUGUAAUCUGGAAAUUGUGUAACCGCUCACUCCUCAGAGAACCAUUUGGACCACUUACAUAGGAUAAUGAUCCUCUCUUGUACAGUACCACAAUUUCUAUCACUGCUCUGCACUACUUGGCUGAAGACGCUGGAGAGCCUGAAUGUUACAGAGAUCACUGCCACCACAGGCUGCUGGGAUGGGCAGCACGUGGCGUUGACCUGGAAAAGACAGAAAAUUAAGGGACUAUAGAAGCAGCCCACCAAUUUCCAUGGUGUUUUUAAAGUACU
Numida meleagris (helmeted guineafowl) is the source of this 942-nucleotide long non-coding RNA. RefSeq lists it as uncharacterized. Lineage: Eukaryota; Metazoa; Chordata; Aves; Galliformes; Numididae. The transcript is spliced from 4 exons. The record is from RefSeq and is a predicted model, not a curated record.